RNAcentral lists this ribosomal RNA (1017 nucleotides) under uncultured bacterium. RNAcentral's name for it is "bacterial SSU rRNA". It matches the Rfam family "Bacterial small subunit ribosomal RNA", at positions 28 to 1026 of the family's 1533-position model. The record is from RNAcentral.
AUUGAACGCUGGCGGCAUGGCUAAAACAUGCAAGUCGAACGCGAAAGCACUUCGGUGCAAGUAGAGUGGCGAAAGGGCGAGGAAUAAGUACCUAACGUGCCUUCAGGUAAGGGAUAGCUCAUGGAAACGUGUGGUAAUACCUUAUAAUCUCAUUUUCUCAUAUGGGUUGAUGAGCAAAGGCUUGCUGCCUGAAGAUCGGGGUACUUCCUAUCAGCUUGUUGGUGAGGUAACGGCUCACCAAGGCGAAGACGGGUAGCUGGUGUGAGAGCACGACCAGCCGCAUCGGGACUGAGACACUGCCCGGACUCCUACGGGAGGCUGCAGUAACGAAUAUUCCGCAAUGCGCGAAAGCGUGACGGAGCAAUGCCGCGUGUGGGAUGAAGCAUCUAGGUGUGUAAACCACUGUCAGGGUUUAGGAAACAAAUGACCAGACCCAAAGGAAGAGCCGGCUAACUCUGUGCCAGCAGCCGCGGUAAUACAGAGGGCUCAAGCGUUAAUCGGAAUCACUGGGCUUAAAGGGUCCGCAGGCGGAUCGGUAAGUAUCUUGUGAAAUACCAUGGCUCAACCAUGGAAUUGCUCGGUAAACUGCCAAUCUUGAACACGGUAGGGGCCAUCGGAACUCUAGGUGGAGCGGUGAAAUGCGUAGAUAUCUAGAGGAACGCCAGAGGCGAAGGCGGAUGGCUGGGCCGUUGUUGACGCUCAGGGACGAAAGCAUGGGUAGCGAACGGGAUUAGAUACCCCGGUAGUCCAUGCCCUAAACGAUGUGCACUAGGUCGCGGAGGUUUUGACGCCAUCGCGGCUGAAGUUAAAAUAUUAAGUGCACCGCCUGGGGAGUACGGUCGCAAGGCUAAAACUCAAAGGAAUUGACGGGGGCUCACACAAGCGGUGGAGCAUGUGGCUUAAUUCGAAGCAACGCGAAGAACCUUAUCCAGGGCUUGACAUGCACGGAUUAUUGAUCCGAAAGGUGAUAAACGCUCAUCCCUAAUGAAUUCCCGGCCCCUGCAGUCGACCAUUUGG